RNAcentral lists this ribosomal RNA (253 nucleotides) under uncultured bacterium. RNAcentral describes it as "partial 16S ribosomal RNA". It matches the Rfam family "Bacterial small subunit ribosomal RNA", at positions 524 to 776 of the family's 1533-position model. The record is from RNAcentral.
CACGUAGGAGGCGAGCGUUGUCCGGAUUCAUUGGGCGUAAAGAGCGCGCAGGCGGCUUGACAAGUCGGGUGUGAAAUCCCGGGGCUCAACCCCGGGACUGCAUUCGAUACUGUCAGGCUAGAGGUAGGUAGGGGAGAUCGGAAUUCCUGGUGUAGCGGUGAAAUGCGCAGAUAUCAGGAGGAACACCGGUGGCGAAGGCGGAUCUCUGGGCCUUACCUGACGCUCAGGCGCGAAAGCUAGGGGAGCGGACAGG